This 1500-nucleotide ribosomal RNA is filed under the name Trichomanes speciosum. RNAcentral's name for it is "Vandenboschia speciosa 16S ribosomal RNA". The record is from RNAcentral. Lineage: Eukaryota; Viridiplantae; Streptophyta; Polypodiopsida; Hymenophyllales; Hymenophyllaceae.
GACAAGAUCAUCUACCUAUCUAUAUAACAGAUCGUAUGGUAGGUCACAAACUAGGAGAAUUUGUCCCCACUCGUAGUUUUAGGGGACAUGCUAAGAAUGAUAAGAGAUCUCGUCGCUAGUUAGAAAACAGACUUUGAAAUAAAAAACAAUAGAGAAAGAAAAUGGAAAUGCAAGCUUCAUCAAGAAAUAUCAGAAUAUCGGCUACUAAAGUGCGACGAAUCAUCAGCCAUAUUCAAGGUUGUUCAUAUGAACAAGCACUUGUAUUACUCGAAUUUUUACCGCACAGAGCCUGUUAUCCUGUAUUACAAUUAAUAGUUUCUGCAGCUGCUAAUGCUACUAAUAAUCUUGGUUUAAGCAAAUCUAAUCUUUUUAUUAGUGAAGCUCGAGUAGAUAGGAGCACUUAUUUUAAGAGAUUUCGACCUAGAGCUCAAGGACGAGGUUACCCGAUAAGAAAACCUACUUGUCAUAUAACUAUCAGAUUGAAAGAGACUAAAUCACAGUAAAAAGCUAAGAGAUAAAAGAAGCUUGAAAAGGACUUAGUUUUGAGAUAUUGAAAUCUAGGAAUAUAUUUAUGGGACGAAAGAUUCAUCCACUUGGUUUUUGACUUGGUGUAAAUCAGAAGCAUUAUUCCUAUUGGUUUGCACACAAAAAAGAUUAUGCAAAGUUCCUAAAAGAGGAUAAAGAAAUACGUACGUUAAUCGAAAAAUAUGUACAGAAACGUAUGAAAGAAGCUUAUUCCAAUUAUGGAGGAAUUGUACAUAUAGAAAUAAAACAAAAAACAGAUCUAAUUAACAUUGAAAUAUGUACAGGAUUCCUGGAUCGAUUUUUUCAAGAUCAUCAUCUAGGAAUUGAUGAAUUGAAAAGCCGUAUAGGAGAAUUAUUAGAUUUCAAAGGAAAAGACCGUAAGGUUCAAAUAAUAUUGACUGAUGUUACUCGACCCUAUGGAGAACCAAAGAUUGUAGCAACAUAUAUUGCUUCACAAUUGGAGAAUAGAGUUGCUUUCCGAAGGACUAUGAAGAAAGCAAUUGACCUGUCUACUAGGCACGGAAAUAAUAAGGGUAUUAAGAUACAAAUAGCAGGACGUCUCAAUGGUAAUGAGAUGGCUCGCGUUGAGUGGGCUAGGGAGGGAAGAGUUCCUUUACAAACCAUUAGAGCUCGUAUUACUUAUUGUUAUCGUCCCGCUCAGACUAUUUACGGAGUCUUAGGUAUAAAGGUUUGGAUAUUUCAAGGCAUAGAAUAAAAUGAACCAUUUAUCCGAUUUACUAACGAAAAAAAUACUAUUUAGGGAACUAUUAGAAUCUAUAACAGCUUAUUCUAUUUCAUAUUAACAAUAAACACAUUAAUCAAAUCCUUCGUAAAUUUUUGCUAUGCUUAGUCCCAAACGAACAAAAUUUCGUAAACAACAUAGAGGAAGGUUGAAAGGAAUUUCACUUCGCGGUAAUCACGUUUCUUUCGGAAGAUUUGCUCUCCAAGCACUCGAACCUGCUUGGAUUACAGCCA